This 449-nucleotide ribosomal RNA is filed under the name uncultured bacterium. RNAcentral's name for it is "partial 16S ribosomal RNA". It matches the Rfam family "Bacterial small subunit ribosomal RNA", at positions 29 to 523 of the family's 1533-position model. The record is from RNAcentral.
AACGAACGCUGGCGGCAGGCUUAACACAUGCAAGUCGAACGGGCCCUUCGGGGUCAGUGGCAGACGGGUGAGUAACGCGUGGGAACGUGCCCUUCAGUUUGGGAUAACCCAGGGAAACUUGGGCUAAUACCGGAUACGUGCGAGAGCAGAAAGAUUUAUCGCUGAAGGAUCGGCCCGCGUCUGAUUAGCUGGUUGGUAGGGUAAUGGCCUACCAAGGCGACGAUCAGUAGCUGGUCUGAGAGGAUGAUCAGCCACAUUGGGACUGAGACACGGCCCAGACUCCUACGGGAGGCAGCAGUGGGGAAUGUUGCGCAAUGGGCGAAAGCCUGACGCAGCAACGCCGCGUGCGGGAUGAAGGCCUUCGGGUUGUAAGCCGCUUUCAGCAGGGAUGAAACUGACAGUACCUGCAGAAGAAGCCCCGGCUAACUACGUGCCAGCAGCCGCCGUAA